Molecule: long non-coding RNA, 681 nt
Filed under: Sorghum bicolor (sorghum)
Lineage: Eukaryota; Viridiplantae; Streptophyta; Magnoliopsida; Poales; Poaceae
Description: long non-coding RNA (SBIC_LNC005830)
Source: RNAcentral
GGUACGCACAGAUCGAGAGCGGGAGGAAGACGUCAACGCCUUGAUGAUCGAUGCCUACAUCGCAACCGCAGCUGCAGGGCCGGCGCACGCCUGCGGUGGAUGUGGAUACUCCCCGCCACCAGUGCAAGCCAGCACGCGUUUGUUUUAUAUUUUUUUUUUUGGUUGAGAAUUAAGCCAACACGCGAGCUGCAUGCCUGAUACCCGCCCUCCCCGAAAGUCGCGAGCACCGUCAACCAUCUGGAUCCGACAGUACCCGUACUGAAUUUGAACUUGAACUCAAGGUUCCAAUUUAUUGUUCAAGAAUUUCAGACAUCAUGUGGUAAGGAGUAGCUGAGAUUCCAAUAAUUCGGGAACAUCCGGCAUUUUUUCAUCUAGAUUUAGGGCUGGUUUUAGAGCUAGUUACUAGUUGGGCUAAAAAAUAGCUUUAAAUUAGCUAAGCUUGGCUAGCUAAUUGGAUACUCCAUCCCGUCCCGUUAUAAGGUGUAGUCAAACAUAACACCAAAUGACGAAUUGACCAUUUAUUUAUUCUACAUUAUAAUUUUUAUAUUGGAUAGUAUUUUUGAUUAUGAAUCUAAUCAUAUCAAAUUUGUAUUACAGUAGUUAAAAAUUGUUUACCAAAUUAUUUGUCAAAGAUUGUGAAGUUUGAAUUUUAUGUUGCGUGUUUACCUUACAAAUCUGCCU